GACGAACGUUGGCGGCGUGCUUAAUACAUGCAAGUCAACUGAAGCAGUGGUAGCAAUAUCGCUGUGGAGGUGGCGCACGGGUGAGUAACACGUAGGUAAUCUGCCUUCAGGUCUGGCAUAACUCCGGGAAACCGGGGCUAAUAGCAGAUGAUGCAGCGGCUCGACAUCGAGACAGUUGUUAAAGCUAUGGCGCCUGAAGAUGAGCCUGCGUCUGAUUAGCUAGUUGGCGGGGUAACGGCCCACCAAGGCAACGAUCAGUAGCUGGUCUGAGAGGAUGAUCAGCCACACUGGAACUGAGACACGGUCCAGACUCCUACGGGAGGCAGCAGUAAGGAAUAUUGCUCAGUGGGAGAAAUCCUGAAGCAGCAACGCCGCGUGAGGGACGAAGGGCUUUUGCUUGUAAACCUCUGUAGUGAGAGAAAAAAAUCCCAAUCUUUGGGACAUGAUGGUAUCUCAAAAGUAAGCCCCGGCUAACUACGUG
This 481-nucleotide ribosomal RNA is filed under the name uncultured bacterium. RNAcentral's name for it is "partial 16S ribosomal RNA". It matches the Rfam family "Bacterial small subunit ribosomal RNA", at positions 28 to 507 of the family's 1533-position model. The record is from RNAcentral.